CCCACUUCUAUUUAUGUGACAGCAGAGAUCAUGACAGAGAUCAGUGGACACAUGGUUUGACCCGUCAGUUCACCUGCUUCUCCAUCAACCAUGUUUCCUGCAGCUCUGCUGCUGCUGUUGGCAGCUGGAUCCAGUGUGAAGUGUGAACAGCUGACACAGCCAGACUCUGUGACUGUGCAGCCAGGUCAGCGUCUGACCCUCACCUGUCAGGUCUCUUAUUCUGUGACCAGCUACUGGACAGCUUGGAUCAGACAACCUGCAGGGAAAGGACUGGAGUGGAUCGGGAUGAGAGUUGGUAGCAGCACCUACUACAAGGAUUCACUGAAGAGCAAGUUCAGCAUCGACCUGGACUCCUCCAGAAACACAGUGACUCUAAACGGGCAGAACCUGCAGCCUGAAGACUCUGCUGUUUAUUACUGUGCCAGAGACACACAGUGACUCAAAGCAUCAGUGGA
Molecule: non-coding RNA, 455 nt
Organism: Betta splendens (Siamese fighting fish)
Lineage: Eukaryota; Metazoa; Chordata; Actinopteri; Anabantiformes; Osphronemidae
Source: the annotation of a RefSeq genome assembly